Rhagoletis pomonella (apple maggot) is the source of this 441-nucleotide long non-coding RNA. RefSeq lists it as uncharacterized. The record is from RefSeq and is a predicted model, not a curated record. NCBI's taxonomy places the organism in Eukaryota, Metazoa, Arthropoda, Insecta, Diptera, Tephritidae. The transcript is spliced from 2 exons.
CACUAUUGAAGUAAAUGAGCGAUAUGUAUAUAACUAUACAUUACGUUGUGUUCUUAUUUUGGGUACAAGGAUUGCCACACAUAGGAAAGGUGACUCAAAAUAAGCGCGCGGGGAUGCGACGGUGCAAUCGCUAUACCUAACAUCUUUUCCGAAACAAAUGGGCACAAAGUGCAUAGGGUGUGGGCAUCUCCGACAAAGAGUAUCGAGGCGAUACGAAGCGCAGCGGCAGGACGACUGGGUACGAGCAGUGUGUAAGGCGUUGGAGAGAGAUAAGUACGAGGAUUUCUUCAUCAAACAAGGGAUUGCAUAAGGAUUCGGUAAAGGAUUGACUAGUUGUGCUGUCGCUAAUGGAAACCGAUAUAAUCAAGAUGACACAUAAACAAAGGCAUUUUUAGGUUAAGAAAACGCAGGAAGCAAUAAAAAAUCGUUUUAUAUUCCGAA